GAUGAAGAACGCAGCGAAAUGCGAUAAGUAAUGUGAAUUGCAGAAUUCAGUGAAUCAUCGAAUCUUUGAACGCACAUUGCGCCCGCCAGUAUUCUGGCGGGCAUGCCUGUUCGAGCGUCAUUACAACCCUCAGGCCCCCGGGCCUGGCGUUGGGGAUCGGCAGAAGCCCCCUGUGGGCACACGCCGUCCCUCAAAUACAGUGGCGGUCCCGCCGCAGCUUCCAUUGCGUAGUAGCUAACACCUCGCAACUGGAGAGCGGCGCGGCCAUGCCGUAAAACACCCAACUUCUGAAUGUUGACCUCGAAUCAGGUAGGAAUACCCGCUGAACUUAAGCAUAUCAAUCAGCGGAGGA
RNAcentral lists this unclassified non-coding RNA (352 nucleotides) under soil metagenome. RNAcentral describes it as "partial contains 5.8S ribosomal RNA, internal transcribed spacer 2, and large subunit ribosomal RNA". The stretch from base 1 to 120 matches the Rfam family "5.8S ribosomal RNA", at positions 35 to 154 of the family's 154-position model. The record is from RNAcentral.